Molecule: ribosomal RNA, 426 nt
Filed under: uncultured soil bacterium
Lineage: Bacteria
Description: bacterial SSU rRNA
Rfam family: Bacterial small subunit ribosomal RNA
Source: RNAcentral
AGAGUGAACGCUGGCGGCAGGCCUAAUACAUGCAAGUCGAACGGCAGCACGGCAGAGCUUGCUCUGUGGGUGGCGAGUGGCGGACGGGUGAGGAAUACAUGGGAAUCUGCCCAGUCGUGGGGGAUAACGUAGGGAAACUUACGCUAAUACCGCAUGCGCCCUUCGGGGGAAAGCCGGGGGCCUUCGGGCCUGGCGCGAUUGGAUGAGCCCAUGUCGGAUUAGCUAGUUGGCGGGUAACGCCCACAAGGCGACGAUCCGUAGCUGGUCUGGAGAGGAUGAUCAGCCACACUGGAACUGAGACACGGUCCAGACUCCGUACGGGAGCAGCAGUAGGGAAUAGUGGACAAGUGGGCGCAAGCCUGAUCCAGCCAUGCCGCGUGAGUGAAGAAGGUCCGUUAGGUUAGUAAGUCUUCGUUUUAGUACCGG